GGAAGAUAUUUUUUGAAAAUUUACUUCUCAGCUGAAUCUUAGUCUUUACAUUUUUGAAAAUGUGGAUAGGUAUACUAGCUGUAGCUUUUUUUCUGAGAAUUAUGUGAACUGAUGUCUGUGAAAUGCACAACAUGACAGUCACAUGCAAGUGGUGUAUGUCAGUAUUAAUACCCUUUCCCAUUGCUUUGCCAAAUAUUCUUGGCUACCAAAAGUAGAGAACACACUCUCCAAAUGGAAAGAAUUCCUUUCUCACCAUUCCAGACUGCUGUAGACUUGUAUCUGAGCAGCACUUAACUUCAAAACCUCAAGAUGAAAGUGGGUUUCCUUUGGUAUUCCCUCCUGGGAUUUGCUCACCUCUGCCUCCCCAUUUACCAGUGCUGUGGAGCCCAGGAAAUAAAACUCAUGUCUGGCUUUUGCAACUCCUGAGCAACCUUCAUCCCAACUUUUGAAAAAAAAAAAAAAAAACACAACCUGAUUGCACUAGAAUAUUUACCUUACUUUUCUCCUUUGAUGUCAAUGUCCUUUCUAAAUAUCUAUUUCCAUACAAAUCAAUAUGUGUUCGAAACACUGCAGAUUUGAUAGAAUCAUAUGUUUUUGCAUAUAUUUUUUGCAUAUGACUACUAUUCAUUUCAGAAAUAAUUGCACGGUAUUCAGCAUCUGCUCAAUAGUAUUGGAUUAUUUUAAUUGUUCUGAUUGUAGACUGCUUGGUGUUGGCAAUCCCUAGCUUGGCACUCUGCUCCCUAGAGCGAUCCUUUGGCUGUUAAAAAUAUUUCUAAAAUCCCCCUUUUUAUUUGAACAAUCAGUUAAAAGUUCUCUUCCUUAUCAUGGAAACUAGAUUUUAAAAUUUUCAGGUAAAAUAAGGUAGUUCAUAUUAAUCUGUAACUAAAUCAAUGUUUCUAAGGGAGCAUUCUUAUUUUACAAAGAAUGUAUUAAUUCAUGUAAACUUCUAAAGAGAAUAUUGCAUGGAUGAAGAUACUUUUUGUUCUGUUUGCUUAUUUGUUUUCCUUUGAGAGCAGUUGAUAAUCAUGGGGUAAUUCCUUAACCAAUCUCUCUGGGAACAAGAAACAUCUGAAUUAAGAUUAUAAUCACCAAAUCAAGAACACAACAGUAGUCUCUCUCCCCUCCCUUUCCUCAUCAUUGUGAGUAACUCUUCUCUUAAUAAUGAAAAAAGGAACACAAGUGUUAGCAUGGUGGAGUACUUGAGUCAGAAACCCAAAGUGUGAGCAUUCUCUCAUUGGUAGUUGUGUUUUCUAAUUCAUAAUUAAUAAUGGAGUCAACGACCCAUUUCUAAGUUUUCUGGCAAUUCAUUUCUCUCAGUAUCUGGGGUGUGUGUUUGCGUGUGUGUGUGCUGUGCAAGGGUGAGUGGGGAGAUGCGAGGGGUGUGAAGGGAUGUGGCGUUGUUUAUGUGUGGGAGGUGUGGGUGUGUAUGGGUGAGUGAUAAAAAGGAAUAUUGAAGAGCACAGAAGAGACCCCCAGGAAGGAAUGCCUGGAGGGACACAGUCAUCUCACAGGAAAUCAGCUGUGCUCCCAUGUCCUUUUACUAAGUAGUCAGAAGAACAUCAAAGGGCCCAGUUAGAAAGCAAUAGCAUUUGAUCAUCUACAAGUUGGUUUGGGAUUUUCAACAGUAUGAAAUCAAUGAUUGAUUGCUUUUGACAUUGUGUGAAAACCACCCUUAUUUAUGAAAAGACAAAAACUGUGCAAUGUGAUAAUAAAAUAUACCAAAUAAAACUGAAUCCAGAGGAGCUCAUAAGUGAUGUGAUGUGAUGUGAUGUGUGUGUGUGUGUGAGAGAGAGAGAGAGAGAGAGAGAGAGAGAGAAUAACAAGUUAAAGCAAGGAGAAAAGUAAUGGGAAUAAAUGGUCAUUGGGUAAUUUGAAUUAAAAUCUAAUCAAGAAUGAAUGAAGUUAUAUAGUAUGCCCUAGGAAAAAGUAAAACAGAAAAAUAGAGAAGAGUUAUAUUAAAUUUUCUGUAAAAAUAUAACAUCAAAUUGCUGCAAUAGAAUGCCUCAACAGUUGCUCACUUGCAUCCACUGUUUCUGUGAUAGAGAUGCAUGAAUUCAUACAAACAGGUUUUUGGGGUCAGGAUUUAAAGAUCAGUGGUAGAGCACUUUCCUAGCAAGCUUCAGAUGCUGAAGUUGGUCACCAGAAUGGCAUUCUUUGCCAAUAGUACUCAAUUUAAAGAUGUCACAAUGAUCCUAGGAUAAUGUAGUUGUAAUUUUAGAAACCAUAACCAGAGACACUGGCAAUACCAUGCAGAAACUUGUGAUACUGGCUUAGUGUUUCAUAAAGCUCUAGAACAAGGUUGCAGGCAAUGGUUAUCGAGGGUAUAUGUGGCUGAGAUGGGAAGCAAGUUUCCAGCUAUAAAUAAGUUUGCAGAGUGAAAAAGUUGUAUUGGGUAAUUUUUAAUGUUUAGGUUUUAGCACAGAGUUUUAGUUUAGGAUCUAAAAGGUUCUUGUGAGAAACGAUUUUAAAAUUCUGUAGAAGACUUUAUCCCAAAAUUAGAUACAAUAAUAAUAACAACAAAAUGAAAAUAAGUUCUGCAUGCAACUAAGCAUUAUCCACUUUAGAUUUAGUAAGAUAACUCAUAAAACUGAAAAAAAAAAAAGGAAAAUAAGGAAGUUGGG
This 2621-nucleotide long non-coding RNA is filed under the name Marmota monax (woodchuck). The record is from RNAcentral. Lineage: Eukaryota; Metazoa; Chordata; Mammalia; Rodentia; Sciuridae.